RNAcentral lists this ribosomal RNA (369 nucleotides) under uncultured Phenylobacterium sp. RNAcentral's name for it is "bacterial SSU rRNA". It matches the Rfam family "Bacterial small subunit ribosomal RNA", at positions 527 to 896 of the family's 1533-position model. The record is from RNAcentral. Lineage: Bacteria; Pseudomonadati; Pseudomonadota; Alphaproteobacteria; Caulobacterales; Caulobacteraceae.
GAAGGGGGCUAGCGUUGCUCGGAAUUACUGGGCGUAAAGGCCGCGUAGGCGGACAGUUUAGUCAGAGGUGAAAGCCCAGGGCUCAACCUUGGAAUUGCCUUUGAUACUGGCUGUCUUGAGUUCGGGAGAGGUGAGUGGAAUGCCGAGUGUAGAGGUGAAAUUCGUAGAUAUUCGGCGGAACACCAGUGGCGAAGGCGACUCACUGGCCCGAUACUGACGCUGAGGCGCGAAAGCGUGGGGAGCAAACAGGAUUAGAUACCCUGGUAGUCCACGCCGUAAACGAUGAGUGCUAGUUGUCGGCAUGCAUGCAUGUCGGUGACGCAGCUAACGCAUUAAGCACUCCGCCUGGGGAGUACGGUCGCAAGAUUA